RNAcentral lists this ribosomal RNA (475 nucleotides) under uncultured bacterium. RNAcentral's name for it is "bacterial SSU rRNA". It matches the Rfam family "Bacterial small subunit ribosomal RNA", at positions 32 to 507 of the family's 1533-position model. The record is from RNAcentral.
GACGAAACGCUGGCGGCGUGCCUAACACAUGCAAGUCGAGCGGGGUUGAAGCGAGAGGUAACUCGAGCUUCUACCUAGCGGCGGACGGGUGAGUAAACGCGUGGGCAACCUGCCUCAAGGUUUGGGAUAACAGCCCGAAAGGGCUGCUAAUACCGGAUAUGCCUAUGGCCUCGCAUGGGGCUAUGAGCAAAGGGGAAACCCGCCUUGAGAUGGGCCCGCGUCCCAUCAGCUAGUUGGUGAGGUAACAGCUCACCAAGGCGACGACGGGUAGCCGGCCUGAGAGGGUGACCGGCCACACUGGGACUGGAGACACGGCCCAGACUCCUACGGGGGGCAGCAGUGGGGGAUCUUGCACAAUGGGCGAAAGCCUGAUGCAGCAACGCCGCGUGAAGGAUGAAGGUUUUCGGAUUGUAAACUUCUUUGAUGAGGGACGAUAAUGACGGUACCUCAAAAACAAGCCACGGCUAACUACGUG